GGAUGUUAGGGCAAUCUGGCUGCGACAUCUGUCACCUCAUUGAUCACUAGGGUAAAUACGGCUGAUCUGGCUGGCUAGGCAGGUGUCCCCUUCCUCCCUCACCACUCCUUAUGCAUGCCUCCCAAAGCUGCACGCUGGGUCAAAGAAGACGACCAUCCCCAAAAGAUGAGGAUGGGUCUUCAGUAAAGGGUAUAUGAUCACCUGUGCUCCCUUGCUAGAACCUCCAAACAAGCUCUCAAGAAACGUACAAAUGGAAAAAAAAAAAACUUUAAAAAUUCUUUUACCUUUCAAAGUAGCAACUAUAUU
This 306-nucleotide small nuclear RNA is filed under the name Pan paniscus (pygmy chimpanzee). RNAcentral's name for it is "7SK RNA (ENSPPAG00000022182.1)". It matches the Rfam family "7SK RNA". From Rfam's summary of the family: 7SK was discovered as an abundant small nuclear RNA in the mid-70s but a possible function has only recently been suggested. The record is from Rfam by way of RNAcentral. Lineage: Eukaryota; Metazoa; Chordata; Mammalia; Primates; Hominidae.